UCUCCGUUGGUGAACCAGCGGAGGGAUCAUUACCGAGUUUACAACUCCCAAACCCCAUGUGAACCUUACCAAACGUUGCUUCGGCGGGAUGCCCCGGGCGCGGGCCGCAAGGCCUCAGCCCCGGAACCAGGCGCCCGCCGGAGGCCCAAACCAAACUCUUGUUUUUGUAGAAUCUUCUGAGUGGCCUUUUAGGCAAAAAAUGAGACAAAACUUUCAACAACGGAUCUCUUGGUUCUG
Molecule: unclassified non-coding RNA, 237 nt
Filed under: plant metagenome
Description: partial contains small subunit ribosomal RNA, internal transcribed spacer 1, and 5.8S ribosomal RNA
Source: RNAcentral